This 10579-nucleotide long non-coding RNA is filed under the name Homo sapiens (human). RNAcentral describes it as "HSALNT0183915". Lineage: Eukaryota; Metazoa; Chordata; Mammalia; Primates; Hominidae. The record is from RNAcentral.
CUCAUCGAAGCUAUCAGAGUUGUCUUUGGCCAGGAGAUGCAGUCAUCCUCAUGGAAGCUAUCUGAGUGGUCUUUUGGCUGGGAGAUGCAGUCAUCCACAGAUCUCUUCUUGUUUUAGCCACCUCUCUCUCCUCCAUGGGCUCUCUAAGGAAAAUACAUGCAUAGGCUAAACUGGCAAAGGAAAGCAAAGUAACGCUUUAUUAUUAAUUGGGACUUUGGUUCCAAGCCUCCAAACAGAAUUCCAUUAAACUAUGUUGGACUCAAUAGGUAAUUCUUCAUGAGAAUUUAUGAGAAUAUGCAUAAGGCAGCUCAGAGCUUAGAACCAAGUGCUGGGCAGUAUAUUCCUUUUUAUGCACUCACAACCAGACCUUAAGCUUGACUCCAUCAACCAGGCCAGAGAAUUCCUACAAUAGCAGGAGGAAAUGGAGUCACAGCACAAGGGACCCUGUUUGUCUGCAGUGCUCAGCACAAAACCAGCCAAGCCUGGUUGCUGUAUUAGGAAGAGAGAACUUUCCGAGAGAAAGCCUGUCUGGCCCUUGGCACUUCCCGCUGCAGUCACUGGAGAGGUAAGAGAGAAAAGGGGCCACUCUGUCAUGUGUUUUCUCUGAAAACAAACCCAGGACACUAUGACUAAGCAUUGACCAAGAGCUUGGAAUUUCCUGUCCUUGAUGCCACAAGCAAUCCCAAACUUGGCAAUGUAAAAUAGCAACUGUUUUGUAGUGCUCUUGGGUUCUGCAAUCCAGGGAUCUGAGAACAGCAUUGUAGGGUGGUUUAUCUCUGCUCCACACUGUCUGCAUCCUCAGCUUGGAAGACCGGGAGGCUGGAGGCAGCUUGGCAGCUGGGGUCUGAACCCCCCUGCAGGCACACUUCUUCACAUGGCAGUUGAUGCUGGCUGCUGGCUGGGACCUCUGCUGGGCUGCCAGCCAGAAUAUCUGUUUGUGGCUUCUCCAUGUGGCUGUUUGGGGUUCUUCAAAUUUCUUCUAAGAGUGAACAUCCCAAGAGAACCAGGCUGAAGCCAUAUCACCUUUCGCAUGCUAGCCUUGGGAGUAAAAUCAUGUCCUUCUCAUUGUACUCCAUUAAUCAGGGCAGUCGCAAAGAUCCAGCCAGACUGAAUGAGAGGGGACAGACAUCAUCAUUCCACGGCUGGUACGUUAAGCUUACAUUGUAAGAAAAGCAUGUGGGAUGUGCAGUGUUAUUACUUGCCACCCAACUCACCCUCGAUUAGUAAUAAAGUGUCUAUAUGGGACACGUGGAAGCAAGGGGGAGAGAAAUAAGAGUCCUAAGUUUCUCCCAGAUACUGACUGAUACUGGGAAACGUGCCUAAAACCCACUGCUGGAAUCCUUCUCUGGAUCAGAGCACGCAGCCUCAGAACAGUGAGUAAUUAAGCUGUUAUUGGCUGUUGGUGUCAAUAGCCAAUACUGACUACACACUUCAUUGUCUAUUGGUCAUAUUAGAAAGCAGACGGGACUGAAGAUCUAGACGGAUAAAUUGUUCUUUGGUGAAGGGUUUUGGGACACGUUUCAUCAAUAGGUUCCUAUCAGGCAAAUGCUCCAGGAGGCUGGAGAUGAAAACUGAACAAAUAACUGAAAGAAAAGAAUAAAGAAAUGCCUUCUUUAAGCCUUGGCUCCUUCACAAUUUGACCAUGACCAGUCCUUCCCAGAAGUGAGAGUCAGCUGGGCAGGAGUUUUCCUCCAUCAGUGGAGUCAUUUUAUCAACAUCCAGCCUUAGAGCGCUUCUUUACGGAGGGAGAAACUCAAACACAAGGCAGGGGAGGUGACAAGUGUGUUCUCCAGGCCUGGGGUUUCAGGUGAGGGUGGAGGUGUGGGGCCAGGCAGGUGGUGGCUAUCCCCUCUUCCCCAUAAGGAAGAUAACACGAACAUGCAGGUUGAUGCAGGGAGAGCAGAAUUAUGGGAUGUUACAUCUUACAGAAAUAUCAGUUAUGUUUCUUUAAUUGUCAGUGACAAAAAGAUAUUUUUUCUACAAAUAAAAAAGGCCAUAUUUGGAAUAAUAUGGAGCAUCUUACAAAAGGAAAAUUGUACCUGUACCUAAUAAGCCAUAGUAGCUCUGGGAACUGAAUCUCGGGCACCAGGAACAGUCUCGCAUGUCAUUGUAAUCUGGAUUCAUGAGCUCUGACUUUCCACAGUCUUUGAGUCACUGAGCACUAGGAUCAACUUUCACAGAGGAUCCAGAUAAUCAGCCAGCUUAAGUCACACUCCUACAGCUUGGCUAGGGUAGGGAUUCCUCACCAACAGUCCCAUAAGAUCUUAUCCAGUCAGGAGGGGCUGGCCCAAUCUGAAGUGCAGCCGAGACCGGGAGCCACAGACCUGGAACCUGUGUACUCAAAGAGUUGUCCACAUGCCAGCAGCACUGGCCCUUCCAGGAGCUGUUAGAAAUGUAGAACCUCAGAGCCUACAUUGAAGAUAUUGAAUCGGAGUCUGCACAUCGCUUCUGAGAAGCCAUGAGCUAAGCUGAUGCCAUUCAGCUGGGUAGCAUCGCAGUCACUGUGCAACUUUUAAACAUACAGCUGCCCAGGCCCACUGCAGACCUGCUAAAUUCAAGCUCCUUGUAGUGGGGCCAGGGCCCUGGGACUUCAUACAAAACUCUGCAAGUCAUCACUGAUGAGAAAACCAAGACUCGAUGAGAGUCUCCUGAGCUCAGAGGAAGAAGCUGCAUAACCAGCACACUUCCAGAGAGGACCGAGGAAGAGAGCGUUGCUUCAGCCAGGGUCUCAGCAGACCAAAGCAAGUUAUUUUCUGAUGAAAGGAUUUCAUCGGACCUUGAUGCUCACUUGGAUUUUUAAGUGGAAAAAGGUCACUGUGUCUCUGUGCAGUUGCAUCAUGCAAUUCUAAUGAGAGAGGCUUCUCAGUCACUCCAAAUGUGACCGCGUGUGCAGAUCCUCAUGUUCUCAGACACCAGCCCCUUCUCCCAGACUGGCUUGCUCCAAACUGCAAUCCUCUGAGGCCCAUGAUCAGUGUCCUGGUCUGAGGCACAUGGAGUGUGUCACCCAGAAUUUUUGGAAUGGAAAUGCACUGAUCCUCACAAGAGGCAAUCACCAUUACACCAAGGGAGCUUCUAUGGCUUUCUGUUUGAUCGCAGUUCUACUCCAGGAGGCUGCCACUCUGUUAUGCCCAGGAUAGGUUCAUGAAGUGGAUUCCUGAAAUGCUGCGAUUCACAGAGGGUUUCCUCUCGCGUGUGACUGAAUUUAUCAACAUGUUUAAUAAAGCUACGUGAUCUCCCGCAGGCGUUGGCUGCAUAGCAUCGCGUGUCCACCAGAGCUGCCUCCCUCCCUGAGUCAACGCAUCCCUGAAGAUACACAGCUUAUGUCAGCAGCACAGACCUGCAUCCCCCAUGGUGACUCAAUUUACAUUCCAUACCCUUGCCCCUGCAUGGGGGUCUUCUUGGAAACUCUGAGACAAGUUGGCUGUGUUAGGAGUCCCCUGAUCUCAAUCUUGCCCAGCCCUAUGUGAACUUAGGUCUCUGGAGACUAAGAAGCCCCAUGGGCAGAGGAGGAGGAGCAGCAAAGGCCCCAAGCAUGAAGUGAUUUGGGGGGAGGAGAGAGGAGUUUCCAGAGAGGGUGAGCACCCCAUCCCCACUGCGGCACUGUCCCUCUGCCAAUGCACACGAUACAGCGGGAGUCCUUCCUCCCGCCUGGCUGUGCAGAGUGGCCCUGGGACCUCUAGGUGGGCAGAGAGCGGGAGGUGCAGCAGAUGGAGACGGGCUCCUUAUACUCUCUCCUCACUGCUGGGGAGGAUAGAAGCAGGAGCCACGUGGCUUCAGAGCCUCCUGUUCCUCCCCUUCCCCAAAUUCCUAUCAACAGCUAACCAAAUCCCUGCAAACACCCGCUCUCCAAGCACCUGCUAAGAACCAGGGGUCCUUGGCAGAGGACUCCCCUCGCAGUGGGUGCUCAGAGCCCACUGAUCUUGCCCCUCCGCUGGCCCGGCUAUGGGAACUGGCAGGUGGCAGCGGAGCUGGAACUUAGGAAGGGCAGGAUGUCAGCUUGGAGCCAUGCCGGCUGUCACCAGAGGCCGCCCCUCCCACAGCUAAGCCUUCCCGGGUGUUGUGUCAUGAGCACACACAGUCCGGAGUCUCCGACACCACUUUGUUUCCCCUGCUCUAUCCAUGGGGCCACCUCUCACUUUCCCAAAAGAGAGGGCAGGGUGUCAAGCCGUCUCACAGAUGGCAGAGCAGAUGCCUGACCAUACUCUCGAGCAGCUUCAGAGAAGUAUUUAUGCCCUGAAGUGGUUUCUUCAGGUGACCAGAUGAAGGUGAGUUGCUGGACACCACCUACCCCAAGGCCCCUGUCCUCAGGGAGCUCAGGUCCGUGCCCCUCAGAGGUUCAUGCCCCUCAGAGCCAGCCAGCUCCCCCUUCCACCUAACCCUGACCAGCAGGAGACCUGUGGAAGUCAGGGGUCGGCCGUGCCCCCUUUCCUCAACCUUCCUGCCUCUCAGCCUUCCCAGGCUGCAGAAUUUCACCCCUCAGAGGCUUCCAGAGUCUGCCCACUCCUGUGAGGAACCACCGUCCUCCAUAAAUGAAAUGCAGCCCUUUCCCUGGGGAAGCAUGGGGGGCUUACUGAACCCGCUUCUGUGAGGCUGGGCUUGACUAGUGGGCAAAGCUGAGUGUGGCUGGGCCUGGCUGCUCCAGCGGGGCGGUCCCUGCUGCUCCCCGACCCAGAAGGUGGCCUGUGGCCAGAACGUGGUCUUAGAGCUCAGCCCUGACCAGCUUGUGAACUCAGCCCCGGUCGACCCAGGAGGAAGCACAGGUCUCUUGUCUCACUGAGUCUCAUCCCCUCAGCCACAGACCUUCCUCCCCAUCUCCUCCACCCGCAGAGGUAACCGAGGGCUGGGAUGGGGCUAGGAGGCCUCGUAUAACUGUGGGAACUGUGGCUGGAGGGUGUCAGAGAGAGAACGCGGAAUUCCAGUCUAGUGUGGAAGUGAGGUGAGAGAUGCAGAUUGCGGUUUUAAAAUCUAUAUAAAAUUACCAACUUGAAUAUUUCCUUAUGACUCCUGGAAUUCUACUUCUCGGCCCCUAAGUGUGGACAUCUGAUGCAGUUCUGGAAUGUAGAAGGGUUUUAUAAAGGUUUCAGGAAAUGUUCUUCUUUCCCUAUUACAAGAAACAAUUGACGUUUCUGCUCCUAUAUGCUUUUCUUUCUGCUUUAAAAGCAGAUAAAAUUUUCAGCUACAGCUUCAAGCUAGUGAAUAAAGCUGUGGAAAUCUGGUUUCAAUACAUAGAAUUCUACCUCUGCGAUGACUGCCUGGCGGUGGCUGUUACGUGAUUCCGGGGACGUAAGGCCUGUGAGAGUGAGGUCAGGGCUCUGCUGCACUGGGAAGCGUGGGGGCCGGCAGGUCAUGAUGAUGUUGGAAAAACUUCAUCUAGAUCACUUUCAGGAUAUCAUGCGAUACUCAGUGUGGUAGGAAGAGAUCAGUACAAUGCUUCUACUUGUACAGCAUAACCUAGGUAUGCAGAGGGCAAAAGACAGAAACCUGUGAUCAAGUCAGCACUAGAGCCUAGGAUCUAUUAACUCCCUAUGUACUGUGGUUUUCCUGGAGAAAGAAAUUAGUAAAUGAUAAAAUUGCAGCAGUCAGAUAUAAAAUACAGAGUUGUCUAUGAGUGAAUAGACAUUUAAGAAACAGCAUGCAUAGCUUCACAGAUAAUCCGGUGACGUAGAUUGAAAGUUUGUUUCCUUCCAAGAUUCCAAUGUGAAAAUCCCAACCUGGGAAGGAAUGAACAAACGCUGCUGAACCCAGGAGGCCCAGCAAGUGGGCAGUGCGCUCCAGUGGGCCUGGAAGGCAGAGCAUUGAGCCAAAGGAAAUCGGGUUCAACGCUCUUCAUUCCAGGGAGUUUGCCUUGUGGUUUGGACUUGCCUGAGAUCCAUCACUCCUUUCUUCUUUCCUAUUUCUGUCUCGGGAGAAAUGUCUGUCCUAUGCUUGCAGCACUACUCUACUCUGGAAGCACAUAACAUUUAGUUUCACAGAUUCCUGCCUAGAGAGAAAUUUGUUUCAAGAUGACUUUUACCUUGAGUCUUAGCCAUAUCUAAUUUAGAGGAUAUUUAUAUAAGACUUCCGAUUUGAGAUUUAGAGUUGACACUGAUGGGGUUGAGAUUUUGGGGCUACUGGGAUGUAAUUAGUGUAUUUUGCAUGUUAGAAGCACUCUAGGCCCGGAGCUGAAUGCUGCAGCCUGAUGGUUUAUGUCUCUUCAAGAUGCGUAUGUUGAACUCCUAACACCUAAGGUGAUGGUAUUAGAAGGUGGGGCCUUUGGGAGGUGAUUAGAUCAUAAAGGUGAGGCCUUCAUGAAUGGGAUCAGUGCCCUCCUAGAAGAGACCCCACAGAGCUCUCUCACCUUCCAUAUGGGGACACAGUGACAAGACGACUGCCUAUAAACCAGGAAGUAAGCCGUCACCAGACACUGAAUUCUCAGCACCUGGAUUUUGGACUUCUGGUCUUCAUAACUGAGAAAUGCAUUUCUGUUGUUUGUAAGACAGUCUAUGGUAUUCUGGUAUGGAAGCCUGAAUGGACUAACACAUUCAAUAACUCAAAGUGAUGUUUUAAGAACAGAAGAUCUUGCCAACUGAAGGCACAGGCUUCCUCCCUCCUUACCUUCCUCUCACCCACAUGGCUUCCCACCCCAUCCCUUCACCACUUUUGUCACACCAACGCCACCUUCCCCUUUACCUCUCCCCCAGCAUCAAGCCAACACUGCUGAUUGCUGCUGACCUUCUGCUAAUGCUAAAUUUAAAAUCAACUUUUUAUUUAGAAAGUUUAAAACUUAAAUUAUAGACUUGGACCUAGGUGGAAGAGAGAAAGAAAAAAAGAUUUCUAGACCCUGAGACAAACUCAUACAUCUGUCCAUAAAUCUGCUCAUUUCAUUUUAUGGAAACAAAGAAAUAUGCUUAGUGGGUAGAUUUAAAUACUCAGACACUUAAAGUAUAAGAUAGCAUGGCAACAACUAGUGGUGAGAAGAGUAGGGAGAGGUCCUGAUUCUGCAUUCCCCAAGAGCCUGAUCUGAUUACAAUCUUUUGUUGAAAUUACUCAAUUGUUAUUUUUAAGUAUUUGAUUUUCCCAGCUUUUUGUAAAAAUUAAAUAGACAGACAGACAUACAUACACUGUGAAGCUAAAGGCUAAGAUUCAGCUGAUUUUCCAAAGCUAAUCAUGAGAGUGGAUGUUGUUUAUGGAAGCUGAACAAUAUGACUUUCAUCACCAGGCAGUGGCCCCUGGGCAAAGACUCCAGGGUCUCUGGAUAAGAAGAAACUGAUAGGGAAAAAUGGCAGAAAUGCUGCAAUAAACAACCCUAAUGAAGAAGAAAUGUAAAUCCAUAUAUAACCAAGAAUGGUUAUUUCAGCUUCCUUCUCCUCCUUCUCCUUCUCCUCCUGCUCCUCCUCCUCCUAAGGAUUUUUUUUGUCCCUUUAUCAAUGCAUCAUUUUUCAACUCUGUCACUUCCGCAUAACACAGCCACCCUUUGCUGUUCUCAACUUUUCCUUUUUGUAUUUGUUUGACACUAACUUUUCCCACAGUCUGUAGAUUUCUUUUUGUCCUUUUCUAAUAGUUCAUGUUUUAGAAAUUCAGAACAAACAAUUUCUGAAUGCUCCUCAGAACACCCAUCUCAGGCAGAGAAUCUCACCGAAAUAGAGAAGAAGCUCAUGCUCCUGGAAGAAACAGCCUGAGGAGAGCCGCUGGGCCACAUCUGGCCACUGUCCACAGCGCUGUCAGAUCCAACGAGAGCCGCUGAGUCACAUCUGGCCACCGUCCGCAGCACUCACAUCUGGCCACCGUCCGCUGCGCUCACAUCUGGCCACCGUCCGCAGCGCUCACAUCUGGCCACCGUCCGCAGCGCUCACAUCUGGUCACCAUCCACAGAGCUCACAUCUGGCCACCGUCCGCUGCGCUCACAUCUGGUCACCAUCCACAGCGCUCACAUCUGGCCACCGUCCGCUGCGCUCACAUCUGGCCACCAUCCGCAGCGCUCACAUCUGGCCACCGUCCACAGAGCUCACAUCUGGCCACCGUCCGCAGCACUCACAUCUGGCCACCGUCCGCUGCGCUCACAUCUGGCCACCGUCCGCAGCGCUCACAUCUGGCCACCGUCUGCUGCACUCACAUCUGGCCACCGUCCGCAGAGCUCACAUCUGGCCACCAUCCGCAGAGCUCACAUCUGGCCACCGUCCGCAGCGCUCACAUCUGGCCACCGUCCACUGCGCUCACAUCUGGCCACCGUCCGCAGCGCUCACAUCUGGCCACCGUCCGCUGCGCUCACAUCUGGUCACCGUCCGCAGCGCUCACAUCUGGCCACCGUCCGCAGCGCUCACAUCUGGCCACCGUCCGCAGCGCUCACAUCUGGCCACCGUCCGCAGAGCUCACAUCUGGCCACCGUCCGCAGCGCUCACAUCUGGCCACCGUCCCCAGCGCUGUCAGAUGCCGACCAAACCCUGCUUUGGUGUUGAGGUGGUUUGUCUAGUAGCCUCCUUUCUUAAGGGAAUUUAAUCUGCUGCAAAUGGUUCUCAUGUAUGCAAUAGAUGUUACUGUAACUGUUUUAUAAGGUGCAUUGCCUUCACCUUGCCAGGCUCUAUGCCAGUCUGUGUCUAGUCUGAUACCAUUCCUGCACACAUACAUCAAUGCCCCAGCAUUUGGAGGGCUGGAGUUAGGAAUAAUCCUGUUGGUGACUUAUUAUUAACUAUUGUAUGGGACUUAUUAUGUAUCUUCAUGUUCUACUGUUCCCACCUCCCAAACCCCAAAAAAGGAUGAGAUCUGUUUUAUAACAAAAACAUUUACGAUAAGGCCUAUACCAUAAAAUAAGUAAUAAAGUUAAUACCAACAAAAAGAGAAGAAGUAUGAAUUACUGCUGUGGUUAGGGUUGACAUUAUUCCUACGAUUGAGCUUCGAAGACUUUUCUAAGCAGUAAUAAACAUGAACCAAGCGUCACACAGUUCCAUUCAUGGUCCUGACCUGAGAGAGCGCUUUCCUAGAUGGACACCCACUCCCUCUCCCAACUGCCCAACUCAUCAGUAAAUGGAGUUUGAUUUAAGCCAAACCUAAUGCAGUAGUUCCCUGUACUUGAGGUUUUUCCUUCUGGGAUUUCAGUUACCUGUGGUCAACGAGAUCCAAAAAUAUUAAAUAGAAAAUUCUAGAGAUAAACAAUUUACAAGUUCUAAACUGCACGCCUUUCUGGUAGCAUGAUAAAAUCUCAUGCUGUCCUGCUCUGUCCCUCAUGGAAUAUGAAUCAUUCCUUGUCCAGCAUAUCUACUCUUCAUAGCAGCAGUCUAGGUUAUCAGAUUGACAGCUCCAAGAAGAAAAGUGAGUUAAGUACAAUAAUAUAUUUGUGAAGAAAGACCAUAUUUAUAUAAGGUUUGUUACAAAACACUAUCAUAAUUGUUCUAUUUUAUUAUUAGUUGUUAUGGUUAAUCUGUUACUGUACCUAAUUUAUAAAUUAAAAUUUAUCAUAGGUAUGUAUAUAUAAGAAAAAACAAACAAACAAACAAAAAAUAUAUAUAUAGGAUUUGGUACUAUCCACAAUUUCAGCUAUUCACUGGGGUCUAGGAAGAUAUUUUUCAUGGAUAAGAAGGGGGCUGGGGUAUAGCAAAAUAAAAUUAAAUAUGCAAAAAUGUCUAAUCAUAUGACUAAAGAAAAUAUACACGACAUUAGAAAAGAUAAAAGGAUCAGUGGUCAUCAUAGCAGCUUCAAAUUUAGAAUGCAUAUUUACAGUUAGUAAUACAUUUAUAGCAAUCUAUUCAUGAUGGGUGGUAAGAAGAGAGUAAACAAUCUUUCAUUGGUAAAUCUUUUCGAGAUAUCUCAUUGCUGAAUACUUUACAUGCUAUCUCAUUGAAUGUUUAUGAGGAUCUCAAGAAGUAGUCAUAUUCCUAAUAGAGAAAAAAAACUUGAGUUUUUUUUUUCUUGCUAUUUCAGUGUUCCUUUUCCUUUGCCAGUCCUCCAAUAGCUGUUCAAUGAAUCUACAUAUUAAAUUUAAGGCUGACUCCAUCUCCUGAAUCACAGUGGUCAUUCUGCCUCUUGGACUGACUCCAUUCUUCAUUUAUUGAGUCCUUGUGGAUAUAGAGCCUCAGCCCUUGUCAUCCCCUAAGGCAAGUGUUGGUCUGAGAAGCGAAACCAAGCUGGCACAGCACUGUAGGCCUGGGAGGGAAAGUGACAUGUGCCUGCAUCCCAAGGAGUGGGGAUGAUGAAAUCAUGAGGGACUCAAUGAGGCUAUCAUUUGGGGUGCCACUGGAACAUUGAUUAGUGAUGAAAGAGGAGAGACCUUUGGCCUCCUGAGAGAAUAAAUCUGGUCCUCAUGGUGUCUCCUUUCCAAGAUCACCUCGUUCUUCCUGUCUUACCCACUUCUCAGCUUGGGUAAAUAUUAAACCCUCCAGUGAAUGGGGCCAUGUGAAAUUUUAGUCUAUCUAUCUCUACAUCACUGAACAUGUUGGACUCCACUAAUCUUAAGCACAAACAUCAUUUUUCCUCUUAUCAAUGAUCUUUUAGCAUUUUAAGCAACUUUUAUAUAACAAUACUUUUAAUAUUUUUUCUGGUAUCUUGUCUCAGUAUCUUCCCAUGUAGAACAACUCUAUGUAUCACAGAACUACUAAAAGCAAUUAAA